GGGCUUGUAGUCUAACGGUAAGACGCCGCCUUCGCAAGGCGGAGACUCCGGGUUCGAUUCCCGGCGAGUCCA
Non-coding RNA from Candidatus Micrarchaeota archaeon CG1_02_51_15, 72 nucleotides. NCBI's taxonomy places the organism in Archaea, Nanobdellati, Microcaldota. The record is from Rfam.